This 408-nucleotide ribosomal RNA is filed under the name uncultured bacterium. Its description in RNAcentral is "partial 16S ribosomal RNA". It matches the Rfam family "Bacterial small subunit ribosomal RNA", at positions 29 to 526 of the family's 1533-position model. The record is from RNAcentral.
AGUGAACGCUGGCGGCGUGCCUAAUACAUGCAAGUCGAACGGAGUGGCGCACGGGUGAGUAAUGUAUAGCUAAUCUGCCCUACACUAGAGGACAACAGUUGGAAACGACUGCUAAUCCUCUAUAGUGUAGGACGAGGCUAUAUUGUAUCAGCUAGUUGGUGAGGUAAUUGAUCACCAAGGUUAUGACCCAUAACUGGUCUGCGGGGAUGAGUAGUCAAACUGUAACUGAGGCACGAGUCGGACUCCUACGGGAAGCAUCAGUAGGGAAUACUGCUCAAUGGGGGAAACCCAGAAGCGUCAACGCCGCGUGGAGGAUGACACUUAUCGAAGCGUAAACUCCUUUUUUUAGGGAAGCGGUACCUAACGAAUAAGCACCGGCUAACUCCGUGCCAGCAGCCGCGGUAAUUC